CCUAAGAGAUACGUGUUAUGUGAAGUGCUCACACAGAUUGUCUGAUGAAGAACGAGCAAAAGCGCGUCUGCGAAGCUGACAGAAGUCCCCUUCGUCUAGAGGCCUAGGACACCGCCCUUUCACGGCGGUAACAGGGGUUCGAAUCCCCUAGGGGACGCCAAUGCGUGGUAUGAGUGAAAGGCGUACCACUUAUCUGACGAGAGUCAGAGAAUAACUAAGCUAAUUCAAAUGAGUUAUCUUACUUAUUAUGCUCUUUAACAAUCUGGAACAAGCUGAAAAAUUGAAAACAAAUCAAUAUAUCACCGAGGUAUAUUGAUGAGUCUCUCAAAAUCUCAAACCUUAAAGUUUGUCACGCAAAGUUUAUCUUUGAAAGAGACACUUUCGGGUUGUGA
Molecule: unclassified non-coding RNA, 392 nt
Filed under: Proteus mirabilis
Lineage: Bacteria; Pseudomonadati; Pseudomonadota; Gammaproteobacteria; Enterobacterales; Morganellaceae
Description: partial 16S-23S ribosomal RNA intergenic spacer
Rfam family: tRNA (bases 85-157)
Source: RNAcentral